Molecule: ribosomal RNA, 468 nt
Filed under: uncultured bacterium
Lineage: Bacteria
Description: partial 16S ribosomal RNA
Rfam family: Bacterial small subunit ribosomal RNA
Source: RNAcentral
GACGAACGCUGGCGGCGUGCUUAACACAUGCAAGUCGAACGGAAAGGCCCUGCUUUUGUGGGGUGCUCGAGUGGCGAACGGGUGAGUAACACGUGAGUAACCUGCCCUUGACUUUGGGAUAACUUCAGGAAACUGGGGCUAAUACCGGAUAGGAGCUCCUGCUGCAUGGUGGGGGUUGGAAAGUUUCGGCGGUUGGGGAUGGACUCGCGGCUUAUCAGCUUGUUGGUGGGGUAGUGGCUUACCAAGGUUUUGACGGGUAGCCGGCCUGGGAGGGGGACCGGCCACAUUGGGACUGAGAUACGGCCCUGACUCCUACGGGAGGCAGCAGUGGGGAAUAUUGCACAAUGGGCGGAAGCCUGAUGCAGCAACGCCGCGUGCGGGAUGACGGCCUUGGGGUUGUAAACCGCUUUCGCCUGUGACGAAGCGUGAGUGACGGUAAUGGGUAAAGAAGCACCGGCUAACUACGUG